This 106-nucleotide transfer RNA is filed under the name Hypsizygus marmoreus. It matches the Rfam family "tRNA". From Rfam's summary of the family: Transfer RNA (tRNA) molecules are approximately 80 nucleotides in length. Their secondary structure includes four short double-helical elements and three loops (D, anti-codon, and T loops). Lineage: Eukaryota; Fungi; Basidiomycota; Agaricomycetes; Agaricales; Lyophyllaceae. The record is from Rfam by way of RNAcentral.
GGUGAGAUGGCCGAGCGGUCUAAGGCGCCAGACUAAGGACCAGGACAAUUCAUGUCCACUCAAUCUGGUCUCUUCGGGGGCAGGAGUUCGAAUCUCCUUCUCAUCA